CCUACGGGUGGCAGCAGUGGGGAAUAUUGCUCAAUGGGCGAAAGCCUGAAGCAGCGACGCCGCGUGAGGGAUGCAUGUCUUAGGAUCUUAAACCUCUGUCAGCAUGGAAGAACAGUCACUGUGCUAAUCAUCAUUUAAUUUACGUUACCUUCAAAGACAGCACCGGCUCACUCCGUGCCCGCAGCCGAGGUAAUACGUAGGGUGCGAGCGUUGACCUGAAUUACUGGGCGUAAAGCGUGCGUAGGCGGUAUGUCAAGUCAAUGGUGAAAUCCCCGCGCUCAACGUGGGAACUGCCUUUGAAACUGGCAAACUGGAGUGUGUGAGAGGAUAGUGGAAUUCGAGGUGUAGGAGUGAAAUCCGUAGAUAUCUGGAGGAACACCAGUGGCGAAGGCGACUAUCUGGCACAUAACUGACGCUGAGGAGCGAAAGCGUGGGUAGCAAACAGGAUUAGAUACCCUGGUAGUC
Molecule: ribosomal RNA, 465 nt
Filed under: uncultured bacterium
Lineage: Bacteria
Description: partial 16S ribosomal RNA
Rfam family: Bacterial small subunit ribosomal RNA
Source: RNAcentral